RNAcentral lists this ribosomal RNA (241 nucleotides) under uncultured bacterium. RNAcentral's name for it is "partial small subunit ribosomal RNA". It matches the Rfam family "Bacterial small subunit ribosomal RNA", at positions 26 to 285 of the family's 1533-position model. The record is from RNAcentral.
AGAAUCAACGCUGGCGGCGUGCCUAACACAUGCAAGUCGCACGAGAAAGGGGAGCAAUCCCUGAGUACAGUGGCGCACGGGUGAGUAACACGUGAAUAAUCUACCUCCGAGUGGGGAAUAACUGAGAGAAAUCUUAGCUAAUACCGCAUAACACUUACGAGUCAAAGCAGCAAUGCGCUUGGAGAGAGUUCGCGGCCGAUUAGUUAGUGGCGGGUAAUGGCCCACCAAGCGAUGAUCGGUA